AAAUGACGUGUACCUGAAGAAUAAGCAUCGGCUAACUCCGUGCCAGCAGCCGCGGUAAGACGGAGGAUGCAAGUGUUAUNNNGAAUCACUGGGCGUAAAGCGUCUGUAGGUGGUCCAAUAAGUCAACUGUUAAAUCUUGAGGCUCAACCUCAAAAUCGCAGUCNAAACUAUUAGACUAGAGUAUAGUAGGGGUAAAGGGAAUUUCCAGUGGAGCGGUGAAAUGCGUAGAGAUUGGAAAGAACACCGAUGGCGAAGGCACUUUACUGGGCUAUUACUAACACUCAGAGACGAAAGCUAGGGUAGCAAAUGGGAUUAGAUACCCCNNUAGUCCUAGCCGUAAACAAUGGAUACUAGAUGNNAACAGAUCGACCUGUGCAGUAUCAAAGCUAACGCGUUAAG
RNAcentral lists this ribosomal RNA (399 nucleotides) under uncultured bacterium. RNAcentral describes it as "partial 16S ribosomal RNA". It matches the Rfam family "Bacterial small subunit ribosomal RNA", at positions 467 to 864 of the family's 1533-position model. The record is from RNAcentral.